GAGUUUGAUCCUGGCUCAGGAUGAACGCUGGCGGCGUGCUUAACACAUGCAAGUCGAACGGAAAGGCCGAAGCUUGCUUCGGUACUCGAGUGGCGAACGGGUGAGUAACACGUGGGUGAUCUGCCCUGUACUUCGGGAUAAGCUUGGGAAACUGGGUCUAAUACCGGAUAUGACGAUCUCUUGGAUGGGGUUGUGGAAAGCUUUUGCGGUAUGGGAUGAGCUCGCGGCCUAUCAGCUUGUUGGUGGGGUAAUGGCCUACCAAGGCGUCGACGGGUAGCCGGCCUGAGAGGGUGUACGGCCACAUUGGGACUGAGAUACGGCCCAGACUCCUACGGGAGGCAGCAGUGGGGAAUAUUGCACAAUGGGCGCAAGCCUGAUGCAGCGACGCCGCGUGGGGAAUGACGGCCUUCGGGUUGUAAACUCCUUUCGCAAUCGACGAAGCCUUUGUGGUGACGGUAGGUUGAGAAGAAGCACCGGCUAACUACGUGCCAGCAGCCGCGGUAAUACGUAGGGUGCGAGCGUUGUCCGGAAUUACUGGGCGUAAAGAGCUCGUAGGUGGUUUGUCGCGUCGUUUGUGGAAUACCGCAGCUUAACUGCGGGGUUGCAGGCGAUACGGGCAUAACUUGAGUGCUGUAGGGGAGACUGGAAUUCCUGGUGUAGCGGUGGAAUGCGCAGAUAUCAGGAGGAACACCGAUGGCGAAGGCAGGUCUCUGGGCAGUAACUGACGCUGAGGAGCGAAAGCAUGGGGAGCGAACAGGAUUAGAUACCCUGGUAGUCCAUGCCGUAAACGGUGGGCGCUAGGUGUGAG
This 808-nucleotide ribosomal RNA is filed under the name uncultured bacterium. RNAcentral's name for it is "bacterial SSU rRNA". It matches the Rfam family "Bacterial small subunit ribosomal RNA", at positions 9 to 826 of the family's 1533-position model. The record is from RNAcentral.